RNAcentral lists this ribosomal RNA (406 nucleotides) under uncultured bacterium. RNAcentral describes it as "partial 16S ribosomal RNA". It matches the Rfam family "Bacterial small subunit ribosomal RNA", at positions 29 to 526 of the family's 1533-position model. The record is from RNAcentral.
AUUGAACGCUGGCGGCAGGCCUAACACAUGCAAGUCGAGCGAGCGGCGGACGGGUGAGUAAUGUCUGGGAAACUGCCUGAUGGAGGGGGAUAACUACUGGAAACGGUAGCUAAUACCGCAUACCAUCAGAUGUGCCCAGAUGGGCUUAGCUGGAAGGUGUGGGAACGGCUCACCUAGGCGACGAUCCCUAGCUGGUCGGAGAGGAUGACCAGCCACACUGGAACUGAGACCAGGUCCAGACUCCAACGGGAGGCAGCAGUGGGGAAUAUUGCACAAGGGGCGCAAGCCUUAUGCAGCCAUGCCGCGUGUGUGAAGAAGGCCUUCGGGUUGUAAAGCACUUUCAGCGGGGAGGCGUUACCCGCAGAAGAAGCACCGGCUAACUCCGUGCCAGCAGCCGCGGUAAUAC